CAAAGACCAGAGGUUCCUGACUUGGAACAGGCGCAAAAAUGCGGCGGGGUUAAACAUGUUUAUGAGAUCUCAACCCUCCCCCUAUACCUCUAGCAAAUGUAGAAAAGUAAACGUAUAACAAUACGUACAUUUAAAAUUCAAUUCAAGAGAAGUCCGAGUCUGAUGUCAGAAGAUGAAACCAAAGAAAAUAAACAAAAUGACAAUUAUACAUAAAUAACAACAGACUACUAGCAGUUAACUGACAUGCCAGCUCCAGACUUCAAUUAAAC
RNAcentral lists this long non-coding RNA (269 nucleotides) under Mytilus galloprovincialis (Mediterranean mussel). Lineage: Eukaryota; Metazoa; Mollusca; Bivalvia; Mytilida; Mytilidae. The record is from RNAcentral.